Molecule: non-coding RNA, 26 nt
Filed under: Rattus norvegicus (Norway rat)
Lineage: Eukaryota; Metazoa; Chordata; Mammalia; Rodentia; Muridae
Source: RNAcentral
UGAGAUAUCAUGGAUGGCUUCAUCAU